This is a small nucleolar RNA of Cottoperca gobio, 204 nucleotides long. The record is from Ensembl. NCBI's taxonomy places the organism in Eukaryota, Metazoa, Chordata, Actinopteri, Perciformes, Bovichtidae.
AACACGCUCCUUAGAUCCAUCUCUGGAGGACGCUGUGCUCUGAGCAUAGCUCCUCAGCAGCUUACUGGCUGUACAGUUGGAGGUGCUUGAGUCAUUGGCGUGUGAGAACAGUCUACCUGUCUCCCCAGCCCAACUGCAACACUGGCAACCCUGUCAUCUACAGACGGGGAGCUCCCAGUGAUGCAAGCCUGGGGGACGGACACA